CUCCAUUAACUUUCAAACACCCUGGUGGGUGGUUCGGGUUCAAAUCAUAAAACCAAAUUCCAUAAUAAACAUUGGAAUAUAAAAUAUGUUAUUUCAUAACAAUCAUCAAUAUUUUCUAGAAAACGACUCUGGUGCAUGAGUGCACUGGUUACAUGUGGCAUGUUGUUAUUGACUAAUAUAAAUUAAUUAUAAAAAUAUAAAGGUUGAACACUUAAAUAUUGAUUAAUUAUAUUCAUGAUCAUCAAUAAUAAUUUAAAACAUCUGCAUGUAGCCGAUUGACAUUUCCAUUUUAUUUAACAUUUUAUCCAAUUAAUUAAUUAAUUUGUUUAAAAUCACACAUAUAUAUCUUCGUCUUCUCCACGGAAGACGCCUUCUUCAUAUUCUUUUUUUAAUCCCAUAACCUUCGGCGAAAAUUGACCCGUUCUUCCUCUUCUAUUUUCUUAACCGCAUAGUUGCAAUGCCGGCAACAACUGUUCCCCUGUCAGGCAUCGACCAAGAUCGGACCUCCAUCCCUACCCGGUGAUGAAGACAAACGGCUUCCCUAUCGAUCUGAGUUUUAUGUAGUUAGUACAUAUGCAUUGAUCCCAUGAUCAAGAAUUUUGAUUUCUACAUCUGAAUCUAGCCCAUGAACAAGGAUUUUGAUUUAUUUCUCCGGCGUCUUUUUAUCAACGAAUAUGAAAUGCUAUUAUAAACAAAAUGCAAAUUGUACACAGAGAAGAGGAUCCAAAACUUGAUGAACUUACCUAGAGAAUGUACACAGGGGAGCAAAAGCGACCUCCCACCCAAAAACUGUUCAUCAAGACCAAAGCUCAUCUGACACCUACCCCAACAGCACUUCAAACACAGAGAGCAAGCACCCAAAGCCUUAUCCCAGAACAGAGCAUCCACCCAAGAGAAGAAACAAAAUUGUCACAGAAAUCAAAAAAUAAGUAAAUCCAAACCCACUGCAUACCGCAACUGGAAAAAACGUCACUAAUCCGGAGCGAGUGAAGACCAAAGAACACCCAACCACUCCACACAAGCCUGCUGCGACACCGAACACUCUGCGACACCGAACACUCUGCCACCACCCAACUCAUGACAGCAACAACAAAACGGUAAGCAAGACUAUAAGGCGAGAGCGAGAAGUCUUCUAUUUAUUAAGCGACCAUGUUGUGUUUUGGGCUAAAAUUAAGUAUUGGCCCAACAUGUUUUAAUAUUUUAAUUGACUGGCUAAUGAAUAAAUGCCAUGUGGCAUGUGUAUCCAAAGUCUCUGUCAUAUUUUCUAAUAUGCAUAUUACAUAAAGAAAUCAUUUUUAUGUAAUCCUAACACACAUGUAAUCUUAAUCAUAAUAAGUAAUUAAUCAUCAUUAUAAAAUGGAACUCACCAAUCAUAUUAGAUGUAUUAUGAGAUCGUGAGUAUCAUGGUUUUUGUAACUUGUUAUAUACUAAUUAUCAUAUUCGUGAAAGUUAAUUACAUGACAUUAAUUGUUGUACUUAUUCUUAACCUUAUCUAGGGUAUCUUAAUUCUUGCAGGACACGUAUCCUCAAACAACAUAUCAUGAAAAUCGUGGAUGUUUGGGAGAACGUAUCCUCAAACAACAUAUCGUGAAAAUUGUGGAUGUCUAGGAGAUCGUAUCAAUCAGACAACAUAUCGUGCGCACAAUGAUGGCCUGAAUCAUGUGGACAAUAGUCUAGGUAGUGAGUUCAUGCUUUUAAUCCACCUAUUAAUCAUCUAGGUGUGUUGUUCGUGCUCACUGCUCACUCGUCAUGUAGCCUUAUCAUAAUACUAACCUUAACGGUCGAACGUUAUCGUUACUCUAGCAUUCAUAUAUUAGUCCUAGCCUUAUCAAAAUCUAAAGACACAUCACUUUGCACAUAAAUGAAAUGAACAUAAACAUAAUGUAAACACUUAAUCAUAAAAUCAUGUAAGUCAAUCAAAUUAAUAAAGCAUAACCUAACUACACCAACGUAAAUAAUUUACUCCCUUAAACCAACUCAACUUAGAUCCAAUGCGAGGAAGCAACGUGAAGUUGGAGACUUGAUCGUCUUUAUGAACCUAUUGACGAGGAACUUCGAUUAAAUUAAAUUCUAAUGAAAAGUGAAAUGGACUUGGGUGACAACUUGAUGACUUGAGAAAAAUCACUUCAUAAUCGAUUAUAAAGUGAGAGGAAAUUAUUCAAUUUAAUCUAUUAACUCCUAGUGAAAAGUUUUCAAUUUCUUUUACAUAGAAUGAGUCAUAUCAAUUAACCGUUAGCCAAUUCUAACCAACAAUAUCUUUAUCAUACUAAACUUUCACUAAAUUAUAUUAUCAUUUUAUAAUCUUAUCAAUACUAGUACAUUAAUUUUUACAAAAUUAAUUCUAGCAAUUAAUCCAUUUAUCAACUCAUAAUCCAAUUAACCUUCCUAAAAUGAAUUCUAAUAACGUAAUUUGAAUUAACUAAAACUUAUUAAAUUCUAAUUAUUUUCAAUUAAUCAUAUUUUAAUUUAUUUCAAUAUCAAACUACCUAAACAUCUAUUAAAAAUACAAUUUAAUAUUUAAUUGAAAUCCUUAUCAUAUAACAAAUUACUUAAUCUGUAAUUAAUUAAUUUAUUAUCAUCCUAACAACUUAUACAUAUAUAAAAUAUAUCAAUCCCAACCUAUAAUUCUUUAACCCAUAGUUUAUUUAAAAGAUGGAAACUUGAUUAUUCAGACCGAUCGAACCCAUUGGAAUGUCUGUUGGGUAUAUUCCGUCAUAAACAGAAAGUUACAGGCCGCGACAGAAGUAAGACAAAGUUGAUGUCUGAACUGUCCGAUUCUAACAGUUUGGUACAACUAACAUUAUUUCUAGAAAUUCAGGUACUUAAUAGAAUUACUGGAAAUCCAGUGAUCAAAACGUGAGCACUUAGAUUUCCAGGGGCUAUCACCACAACUUUCCCCAGUCAACUUUGCCGUUGACCCCCUCUGAAACCCAGAUACCGGCUGGGGCGCCUCCGGCAUCCAGCAAUCUCCUAAGUUCAUCGAACCUAUACUAAAACUGAAAAUAAUCAUAGCUUAAGGCGUCUGACCUUGGUACAAAGCUAUCCUACGCACCAGGAUCCUUCAAGGCGGCCUGGAAUCGAUCAACCGUGACCUCGCAACGCAUCAACGCUUCAGAUUCAAAACUCGAUAAAAGGGUCUGAGAAAAAAUCCUUACCUAAGCGACGCAUCAAUGGACUCUCGACUAAAGAGAACUGAGCUUGGAGGGCUUUGGCCGGAAUUGAUCGUCAAGAGCCGCUGCCGCGAUUUUCGUUAAUCGAUCGGUUUGAGGCGGCACAACUCCGAGAAAACGAUUAGGGUUAAUAUUCGAGUCUUUAUACUAACAAAAGAGAAUUGAGGUUGCGAUGAAUUCAAAACGGAAAUCGUGUGAAUGUCGCUCGGGAUUCUGGGAAAGGAAGGGGAUGAUAACCACGCGCUAAAUUCAAAGAUUGGAAGUGUUGCUGGAAUUAUGAGAUGAAUCAAAGCCAUCAGAUCGAUCUUGC
This 3480-nucleotide long non-coding RNA is filed under the name Linum usitatissimum (flax). Its description in RNAcentral is "long non-coding RNA (LUSI_LNC006590)". Lineage: Eukaryota; Viridiplantae; Streptophyta; Magnoliopsida; Malpighiales; Linaceae. The record is from RNAcentral.